This is a long non-coding RNA of Hippocampus comes (tiger tail seahorse), 503 nucleotides long. RefSeq lists it as uncharacterized. NCBI's taxonomy places the organism in Eukaryota, Metazoa, Chordata, Actinopteri, Syngnathiformes, Syngnathidae. The transcript has 2 exons. The record is from RefSeq and is a predicted model, not a curated record.
AACUUGUUUCCCUAAUGGGAGUCAGACUUUUGUGCUUCUCUGCGACACACCCUUCCAAAACAUUUUAUUUGUGUGGCACUUUCACAGCAGGUGUAGCUGUAACAACGCGGGUUUACAGAACAUUUCAUUAAAACCUGCUCAUUUCGGGAUCUGAUUUUCAGAUAAGCCUGGAGUGUGUCCGAAUAAAGUGGGGGUUAUGGCGCAUUGUGGAAACCACUGCUUUGAUGACAGAGACUGUCCUGACGAGAAGAAAUGCUGCCACAACGGGUGCGGAUUUGAUUGCUUGGUACCUUUCAAAGUGAAGCCGGGCCGCUGCCCUCUGCACCAAGGAACGUGUGCAGAGAAUUGCUUCCAUGACGGUCAGUGUGCAGGUGACCAGAAAUGCUGCCAGACAGCCUGUGGUCUCGCCUGUUCUCAGCCCCUCUGAGUUGACAACAAUCAACUUCAUGACAAAAAUAUUUUCCUUCAAAAUGUGCCCUGGCUAAAAUAAAGGUUGGAAAACA